AUUCGCUCAUGAAAGAGAACUAGAAGGGGGUGGUUGAAGAGGGGACCAACUCCAGCUGGGCCCGAUUCGCUCAUGAAAGAGAACUAGAAGGGGGAGGUUGAAGAGGGGACCAACUCCAGCUGGGCACUUACUCCAAACACCAUGGCCUUUUAGAUACGAAUUCUCGCCCGAUGGUGGCGACCCUACUUAUCCACAGCACAAUGGCCAAGCUUUGCUUGAAAGUCUUCUAAGAAGGAGAGAGUUCUUAGAAUCCUAUUAUGAGAGUGAAACUAUCUACAAAAGAAUAUAACUAAAAGAGAACAACUAUCUUAUCUACUCUCUAAAUCAAAGAGCAACUAGCAAAUAACAAUUAAGAAGGAGGGGAGGGUAAGGGGCUAGUGUGAGG
RNAcentral lists this long non-coding RNA (385 nucleotides) under Amborella trichopoda. Its description in RNAcentral is "long non-coding RNA (ATRI_LNC000702)". The record is from RNAcentral. Lineage: Eukaryota; Viridiplantae; Streptophyta; Magnoliopsida; Amborellales; Amborellaceae.